UACAGAGACUGCAAGCGUUAUUCGGAUUCACUGGGCGUAAAGGGUGCGCAGGCGGCCGAGUGUGUGAGGCGUGAAAGCCCGGGGCUUAACCCCGGAAUUGCACCUCAAACUACACGGCUAGAGCAUUGGAGAGGGUAGCAGAAUUCAUGGUGUAGCAGUGAAAUGCGUAGAUAUCAUGAGGAAUACCAGAGGCGAAGGCGGCUACCUGGACAAUUGCUGACGCUCAGGCACGAAAGCGUGGGGAGCAGAAGGG
This 253-nucleotide ribosomal RNA is filed under the name uncultured bacterium. RNAcentral describes it as "partial 16S ribosomal RNA". It matches the Rfam family "Bacterial small subunit ribosomal RNA", at positions 524 to 776 of the family's 1533-position model. The record is from RNAcentral.